Molecule: long non-coding RNA, 1140 nt
Organism: Hypomesus transpacificus
Lineage: Eukaryota; Metazoa; Chordata; Actinopteri; Osmeriformes; Osmeridae
Exons: 3
Source: RefSeq, a predicted model, not a curated record
CCCUGACCGGCACACACAACCGGCAUGUUUACAACGUAUGUAAACAACGUGUAAAUGUAUGUAUUUUACUUACUGAUGUUUUGAUACAGUGGUUGUCAUUCCACUCUGGAGAGAUUGACUACUGAACUGAUGUGUUUAGAAAGUCAUUCCACUCUGGGUGAAUGGACGUUACUGAUGUUUUAAUAAUCAACCUACCUUUCAUGUAGCUUGUGAUUAUCCCGUUUCAUGUUAAUAUUUUAAAUUUUCAAACUAGGGUUAACUUCUGCCGGUUAAACAUUUAUUGGGAUGCAAAUGUCCUCGAUCUUUUCUUUCACCACUGGAUGUGUGUAAUACAGUCCAUGAACAGUAUUAUACGGUUAUUGUCUUUCACAUUUAGUUUUACCAAUCUUUUUUUUUAUUAUUGUAAACAUAUCUAUACUACCACAUAUUAUAUUUGGUAUGAAAUGAUCCUGUUACUGUCCAUAGUUUAAGUGGCAGUCACUGAUUGGUUGUGAUGAUCGAUAGGACGGUCAGAUCAGGAAGCAGCAGCAGUGAGUAUAGGUCCACAGACCCAGGCUGUUGCCAUGGAGAAUAAUGUUGUUGGAGGAGCUAAUGAAGGAGCAGGAUUGAACACUGGGGAUUCAGGAAGUGGACAGGGUGUAAACGAUGGAGCAGGCAUCCCCCAAGCUGAAGACGCUGGUAAGACAGAUCUGCAGCAUCAAACGACUGCAGUUAAACUACUAGACUUUCUUAAACUCAUCUUGAAUGUGUCUAAAAGUAACACGGCACACUGCAAGGACUUGUGUGAUGUUUUCCAUUAAAUCUUAUUAAAACGUAUCAAUCUCUUGCGAGAAAAAAACUGAAUAUGUGCAUUAUCACUGUGCCGUAAAACAUGAACAGUCACAUUUGCAUAAUUCUUAUACUACUGUGUGGUGCGUUAUUUUAUCAUGAUUUAGCUGUACAUGUUUGUCAUAGCAUCACCAAUGACCUUUAGGUCACCAAAAUCAAUAAAAUAAUACUGAAUAUGUUUAAUAGUUUUGUGUGCAUCAUAACAAUUCAUAUAUCUGUGACUAAACAUUCAUUUCAAGUAACUAUACUUACAUACAUUAUGUUUGUAACACUGCCAAUGACAAAUCCAGACGUAUUUUCUUCCUCUAAUCA